This 2902-nucleotide ribosomal RNA is filed under the name Klebsiella pneumoniae. RNAcentral's name for it is "23S ribosomal RNA". It matches the Rfam family "Bacterial large subunit ribosomal RNA". The record is from RNAcentral. Lineage: Bacteria; Pseudomonadati; Pseudomonadota; Gammaproteobacteria; Enterobacterales; Enterobacteriaceae.
GGUUAAGCGACUAAGCGUACACGGUGGAUGCCCUGGCAGUCAGAGGCGAUGAAGGACGUGCUAAUCUGCGAAAAGCGUCGGUAAGGUGAUAUGAACCGUUAUAACCGGCGAUGUCCGAAUGGGGAAACCCAGUGCAAUUCGUUGCACUAUCGUUAACUGAAUACAUAGGUUAACGAGGCGAACCGGGGGAACUGAAACAUCUAAGUACCCCGAGGAAAAGAAAUCAACCGAGAUUCCCCCAGUAGCGGCGAGCGAACGGGGAGCAGCCCAGAGUCUGAAUCAGCUUGUGUGUUAGUGGAACGGUCUGGAAAGUCCGACGGUACAGGGUGAUAGUCCCGUACACCAAAAUGCACAGGCUGUGAACUCGAAGAGUAGGGCGGGACACGUGGUAUCCUGUCUGAAUAUGGGGGGACCAUCCUCCAAGGCUAAAUACUCCUGACUGACCGAUAGUGAACCAGUACCGUGAGGGAAAGGCGAAAAGAACCCCGGCGAGGGGAGUGAAAAAGAACCUGAAACCGUGUACGUACAAGCAGUGGGAGCACCUUCGGGUGUGACUGCGUACCUUUUGUAUAAUGGGUCAGCGACUUAUAUUCUGUAGCAAGGUUAACCGUAUAGGGGAGCCGCAGGGAAACCGAGUCUUAACUGGGCGUUAAGUUGCAGGGUAUAGACCCGAAACCCGGUGAUCUAGCCAUGGGCAGGUUGAAGGUUGGGUAACACUAACUGGAGGACCGAACCGACUAAUGUUGAAAAAUUAGCGGAUGACUUGUGGCUGGGGGUGAAAGGCCAAUCAAACCGGGAGAUAGCUGGUUCUCCCCGAAAGCUAUUUAGGUAGCGCCUCGUGAACUCAUCUUCGGGGGUAGAGCACUGUUUCGGCUAGGGGGUCAUCCCGACUUACCAACCCGAUGCAAACUACGAAUACCGAAGAAUGUUAUCACGGGAGACACACGGCGGGUGCUAACGUCCGUCGUGAAGAGGGAAACAACCCAGACCGCCAGCUAAGGUCCCAAAGUCAUGGUUAAGUGGGAAACGAUGUGGGAAGGCACAGACAGCCAGGAUGUUGGCUUAGAAGCAGCCAUCAUUUAAAGAAAGCGUAAUAGCUCACUGGUCGAGUCGGCCUGCGCGGAAGAUGUAACGGGGCUAAACCAUGCACCGAAGCUGCGGCAGCGACACUAUGUGUUGUUGGGUAGGGGAGCGUUCUGUAAGCCUGCGAAGGUGUGCUGUGAGGCAUGCUGGAGGUAUCAGAAGUGCGAAUGCUGACAUAAGUAACGAUAAAGCGGGUGAAAAGCCCGCUCGCCGGAAGACCAAGGGUUCCUGUCCAACGUUAAUCGGGGCAGGGUGAGUCGACCCCUAAGGCGAGGCCGAAAGGCGUAGUCGAUGGGAAACAGGUUAAUAUUCCUGUACUUGGUGUUACUGCGAAGGGGGGACGGAGAAGGCUAUGUUAGCCGGGCGACGGUUGUCCCGGUUUAAGCAUGUAGGCUGGUUAUCCAGGCAAAUCCGGAUAAUCAAGGCUGAGGUGUGAUGACGAGGCACUACGGUGCUGAAGUAACAAAUGCCCUGCUUCCAGGAAAAGCCUCUAAGCAUCAGGUAACAUCAAAUCGUACCCCAAACCGACACAGGUGGUCAGGUAGAGAAUACCAAGGCGCUUGAGAGAACUCGGGUGAAGGAACUAGGCAAAAUGGUGCCGUAACUUCGGGAGAAGGCACGCUGGUGUGUAGGUGAAGCCCCUGCGGGUGGAGCUGAGACCAGUCGAAGAUACCAGCUGGCUGCAACUGUUUAUUAAAAACACAGCACUGUGCAAACACGAAAGUGGACGUAUACGGUGUGACGCCUGCCCGGUGCCGGAAGGUUAAUUGAUGGGGUUAUCCGUAAGGAGAAGCUCUUGAUCGAAGCCCCGGUAAACGGCGGCCGUAACUAUAACGGUCCUAAGGUAGCGAAAUUCCUUGUCGGGUAAGUUCCGACCUGCACGAAUGGCGUAAUGAUGGCCAGGCUGUCUCCACCCGAGACUCAGUGAAAUUGAACUCGCUGUGAAGAUGCAGUGUACCCGCGGCAAGACGGAAAGACCCCGUGAACCUUUACUAUAGCUUGACACUGAACAUUGAGCCUUGAUGUGUAGGAUAGGUGGGAGGCUUUGAAGCGUGGACGCCAGUCUGCGUGGAGCCAACCUUGAAAUACCACCCUUUAAUGUUUGAUGUUCUAACGUUGGCCCCUGACCGGGGUUGCGGACAGUGUCUGGUGGGUAGUUUGACUGGGGCGGUCUCCUCCCAAAGCGUAACGGAGGAGCACGAAGGUUAGCUAAUCCUGGUCGGACAUCAGGAGGUUAGUGCAAUGGCAUAAGCUAGCUUGACUGCGAGCGUGACGGCGCGAGCAGGUGCGAAAGCAGGUCAUAGUGAUCCGGUGGUUCUGAAUGGAAGGGCCAUCGCUCAACGGAUAAAAGGUACUCCGGGGAUAACAGGCUGAUACCGCCCAAGAGUUCAUAUCGACGGCGGUGUUUGGCACCUCGAUGUCGGCUCAUCACAUCCUGGGGCUGAAGUAGGUCCCAAGGGUAUGGCUGUUCGCCAUUUAAAGUGGUACGCGAGCUGGGUUUAGAACGUCGUGAGACAGUUCGGUCCCUAUCUGCCGUGGGCGCUGGAGAAUUGAGGGGGGCUGCUCCUAGUACGAGAGGACCGGAGUGGACGCAUCACUGGUGUUCGGGUUGUCAUGCCAAUGGCACUGCCCGGUAGCUAAAUGCGGAAGAGAUAAGUGCUGAAAGCAUCUAAGCACGAAACUUGCCCCGAGAUGAGUUCUCCCUGAGACUUUAAGUCUCCUGAAGGAACGUUGAAGACGACGACGUUGAUAGGCCGGGUGUGUAAGCGCAGCGAUGCGUUGAGCUAACCGGUACUAAUGAACCGUGAGGCUUAACCUU